RNAcentral lists this small nucleolar RNA (107 nucleotides) under Daucus carota subsp. sativus. RNAcentral's name for it is "sRNA DCAR_sn00328". The record is from RNAcentral. Lineage: Eukaryota; Viridiplantae; Streptophyta; Magnoliopsida; Apiales; Apiaceae.
ACGUAUGCAUUGACGAGGCUUAUGUGGACUAGAGUUUCUGAAUCUGGUGGGUUUAAUUUUAAUCCCCCAGUUUCUGAAGACAACCCCUUGGCUGUCUGAGCAUAACU